UGAGGAAUAUUGGACAAUGGGUGGAAGCCUGAUCCAGCCAUCCCGCGUGUAGGAUGACGGCCUUAUGGGUUGUAAACUACUUUUAUCUGGGGAUAAACCUACUCACGUGUGAGUAGCUGAAGGUACCAGAAGAAUAAGCACCGGCUAACUCCGUGCCAGCAGCCGCGGUAAUACGGAGGGUGCAAGCGUUAUCCGGAUUUAUUGGGUUUAAAGGGUCCGUAGGCGGAUUAAUCAGUCAGUGGUGAAAUCUCAUAGCUUAACUAUGAAACUGCCAUUGAUACUGUUAGUCUUGAGUGAUGUUGAAGUUGCUGGAAUGUGUAGUGUAGCGGUGAAAUGCUUAGAUAUUACGCAGAACACCAAUUGCGAAGGCAGGUGACUAAACAUCAACUGACGCUGAUGGACGAAAGCGUGGGGAGCGAACAG
Molecule: ribosomal RNA, 423 nt
Filed under: uncultured bacterium
Lineage: Bacteria
Description: bacterial SSU rRNA
Rfam family: Bacterial small subunit ribosomal RNA
Source: RNAcentral